Molecule: ribosomal RNA, 331 nt
Filed under: uncultured eukaryote
Lineage: Eukaryota
Description: partial 18S ribosomal RNA
Rfam family: Eukaryotic small subunit ribosomal RNA
Source: RNAcentral
CCCUUAGAUGUUCUGGGCCGCACGCGCGCUACACUGUUCGUCGCAGCGAGUCUUAACCUUGACCGAGAGGUUUGGGUAAUCUUCAGCAAAGACGAACGUGAUGGGGAUCGAUCAUUGCAAUUAUUGAUCGUGAACGAGGAAUUCCUAGUAAGUGCAAGUCAUCAGCUUGCGCUGAUUACGUCCCUGCCCUUUGUACACACCGCCCGUCGCUACUACCGAUUGAAUGGUUUAGUGAGAUCUUUGGAUUGGCGCUGUGGGGGUGGCAACGCUCCUUCAGAUUGCUGAGAAAUUGCUCAAACUUGAUCAUUUAGAGGAAGUAAAAGUCGUAACA